GACAGAGGGUGCGAACGUUGCUCGGAAUUACUGGGCGUAAAGCGCGUGUAGGCGGACCGACAAGUCAGGUGUGAAAUCCCCGGGCUCAACCCGGGAACUGCACUUGAAACUGUCGGCCUUGAGUGCCGGAGAGGGUGGCGGAAUUCCUGGUGUAGAGGUGAAAUUCGUAGAUAUCAGGAGGAACACCGGUGGCGAAGGCGGCCACCUGGACGGCUACUGACGCUGAGACGCGAAAGCGUGGGGAGCAAACAGG
This 253-nucleotide ribosomal RNA is filed under the name uncultured bacterium. RNAcentral's name for it is "partial 16S ribosomal RNA". It matches the Rfam family "Bacterial small subunit ribosomal RNA", at positions 524 to 776 of the family's 1533-position model. The record is from RNAcentral.